Long non-coding RNA from Aquila chrysaetos chrysaetos, 5899 nucleotides. RefSeq lists it as uncharacterized. The transcript has 2 exons. The record is from RefSeq and is a predicted model, not a curated record. Lineage: Eukaryota; Metazoa; Chordata; Aves; Accipitriformes; Accipitridae.
UGGUGAGCUAGAGCUUUGCCAGGCUGUAAUAAAGCAUGGGCGACCCUUUGCCAGACGUGCUCUUCCCUCUCUAUUUAAAGAUGCUCUUUAUCCCCCAGACUUCAUGAGGUGUUGUCUGGAAAGGCUCGCUGUGCAGAUCAGUCUUUACUCUAAGCCUCCUUUGAUACACUUUGCUUAGGGGGGGGGUUCCACAGUUACUGCAAGAGUCAGUGAUCUCGAUGUUUAACAGUUUUAUUGUUUCAGGCGAGAAUCCACUUCUCUGAAUGCAUCAAGCCUCAACCAUUUGUAUGUAUGUGUGAAGGUCAGUGGGCUUGUCAAAUACCCUAUUGUAAAUCCUGUCACUAAAUCAAUUUCUUUUAAUUAAAAAAAAUGCACUGCUCUUCAGAAGGAGUGCACCCUUUCAUCUGGACAAAACCCAUUAUAUCCCAACACAAACACGAUAGCCGUGAGCUCUCUGCUAGUCUCACGUUGGCUGCUUGUCUCAGCUGGUCUGUUUGUGGUUUAGAUAUCUUGGUGGUCAGAGGGGGCUGCAUUUUCCCUUCCUCUGAAGGAAAUGGCUACUGUUAUUACCCUGUCAUCAUCUAACUUUGCAAUGUCAGAAGCAGAAAAAGUCAAUAGUGGAAAACAGGUAGCCACGCCAACAGGUGAGAGAUGUUCAAGCCCCCCUCCUCGCUCCCCCCAGUGCCUGCACCAGAAGCACGCAGAAGUCUGACACAACAGCUAAGAGCAGGACAGGAUUUCGCAUUCAUUUAGUAAUUCCCUUGGGGUUAUACUCUUAGAUGACUUAAUGACUUAGUGUAUACCCUGUCUGGAAGAUAAGCAGGCAUAAUUCAUUGCAGGCAGGUCAUUCAUCCUUUGAGAUAACCAGCAACUACACGCCAUAGGCAGCAGGGAGAUAAAGAUACUAUACAUCAGCAGCAGUAGUUCAAGGUUUCAACCUCUCCGCCUCCUUCUGUGACCCAGAAGUCAUUUGCAGUUGAUUAUUCAGCCAUUUGCUUUCUUUAGAGAGAAAUACACUGGCACCAGUUGGCUGAAGCACAGCAAAAGAAAUAGCAAGUACGAGACUUUUGAUACGGACAUAUGAUGGCCGUGGUGUGAUUCACAGUUUGUGAUGUUGCUCUAUUUGAGGAGGAGUGGAGGGAGAGAAAGAAAAGUCUAUUUUUGUUUGUUUGUUUUCUAAUUACUUGAGCUAUUUUUUCUUUGACUCAGCAGCUCUGGACAGUACAUACUGUACUACUGUAACCGGCAGUUCAGGGCUGGGAGGUCGAAUGAUGGUGACGAUAAAAGUAAAUAUCCUGCAUUCUCAGAGGGAUUAGGAGGAGAUGGAAGAAUUAGUCUCAUUAUGGUUUUGUGUGGUGUCACAGUCCCUAUUUGCAUCAAUGCUAUCCUGUAUGUAAUCUUUAGACCUGCAUUUCUCCAGUGAAGUACUAAAAACAAACAAGAAAUCGGAAUAGUUUUACUUUCACAUAUUUUUUCAUUUACAAACCCCAUUUGUUUAGAUGAUGAAAACACUCACCUUGCACAAGAAAACAUGCUGCAAAGAAAACAAAGGUGUCUUCUUGUUUUCAGUAGUGCUUAUGGCCUGUUUGGAGAGCGUCUUAAGAACAGAGCGAAGAGUGAUUUUGAUUGAUGCGAAAUAAUUUGAUAAUUGACAUGAAAAAGUUUGAUUGACAUGAAAUACCCAGUACCACAUGAUGCUUUCUUGUCAGUCUGCAUGCUACACAGUAAGAGUUGUACUCAUCAUGGCACACCUUUGCUUGGUUGUCUCAUUCAAAACAGUUUGAAUCCCAACUUCCAAGGUGAGCCCUUACUACUUUUAAAGGUGUUAAGCUGCAUUUGUGUUUUCACGUAAGGAAACCCUCAAGCCUGUAAUGGAUUGCAAGGGCUUCUGUCUGCAAGGGGAAGAAAUGCAGCCUGUGGACUGCUUUGUGCAGGAAGGGAUGCUCGCUAACACACUUGUCAUCUUCAUGUUCUGUGCCAACCUGCUUUGUUAAUACAAGACAUUCACAUGUCAGGAUAUAUUUAAUACAAGACUUUCUGGCUCCUUGAGGGAAAAGCCUCACUUUAGCAAGAGUAAUUCACUAAAGUUAGUUGGGUGUGAAUUUUAAGCAGGAUAUCCAGGCAGAGGAGUUGGUGUUGAAGGUCACUGGGGAGCAGAUUCCAGAGACCUUUCAAAGAUGCACGGCCCCUCAAGAACUGGGAAUUGAAAACUGUUUCUUACUCUAUCUUACAGGCUAAAAGCCCUGCAAAGCACAUUCUUCCCUUUUCCAAUGUGCUCUUCCGAGAAGUUCCAAGCAAUGAGGAGGCUUUGUGGAAAGACAGUGGGGUUCUUGGGAAGGAUGGGCUUCCCACCCAGUUUUUGCAUGGGUAGCAGUUCCCAUCUGGUUCCUUUAUAGAGGCUGCUGUUACAGGUUUUUAAUGCUUUAUUCUAUGCUCUUGCUUCCAAUAUUCAUCACAGUACUAGAAAACCUAAAUAUGUCCUCUUGCAGCCUUUAAUUAUGUGAUAAAAGCCAUGUCCAUUUUAAAGCCUAUUCUUUUUCCAGACCGGGUGACCUGUGGAUGGCAUUCUCUUGCGAAGGAAUAGGACUUCACAUUUGCUGUUGCUGGCUUUCCCUUCUUCUCUCUUCCUUACCGUAUUUUUUUCAGCUCUGAAUGGUUCUCUGUGAUUGUAAUUGUGCUAAGUACAUUCGGUAAUGCAGAAGUGACCUAUUUUGUACACAGUUUAGCUGAUUCUGCAGUUGCCUGUAGGGUUUCCUAGCAAUGUUCUUCAGCUGCUCCUUGGCUUACAAAAGCCUGGUAAGUUAAGCAUGGCCAGCGCAACAUACUGGAUGCAAGGAAAGUUCAAGGUAAUAGGGGAGGAUGAGCCAUACAGGUAUGAAUGGGUUGGACCGAGUGUUUAUAAGGCAAGGUGGAGGCCUCUGGAACAGAUUGGGACGACUAGAAUAGAUGUCAUUAAAUGUAUUAAACUGUUGGAGGUCCUUUGUACAAGUUUGUUAAUAUCCAGUGACAUGGCCAGAUAUUGUGCCCCUGUAGGCCCAGCAGUUAAUGUAUGAUACCUCUGGCAUCUGAGGUACAUACUCAACUAUAAAAAAAUAGAUGAGCUGGGACCCAUUACCAUAAACAGUGUCUGCAGUACUAGGCCUGGUAACAGAUUGUUCUGUGCCUCAUUAACAAGGAGAUAGCGCUGUCAGAGGAGUCAAUGCUUCAUUUUGCCGUGUUUGCUACAUAAUCAGUUAAUUUUGCUUAAUAGUGGAUUGCGUCACAGAUGUGCAAAAGGGCAGAGUCACUUCACUUUCCGCAUAAAACCUCCACUCUGGUGCAGCUGCAAUUUUAACGGAGCGUGUUAGCAGGCAAGCUGACUUCAGCCGGUGUCCCUGCCUUACCCCCGUCCUGGCUUCUCCCAGCAGUGCUCUGGCCAAGCUCCAUGCUUGUAAGGAUGCAAGGUAAAAGUUCCUCAGACUAGAAAUUAGAUACAGGUCUAUAUGAGGGUGGUCAUUCAAUGUCUGCUGUGCUUGUGCCUUUUUUUUUUUUUUUUUUUUUUUUUAAAUCUUAUAUAAGGUGCUGUCAAAGACUUCCCCACGUUUCAUUGGGAAGUACUUUAGUGCCUGUCUUUCAUCUAAGAAUUACUUAGAAUAUGAAAGUUAGCAAGACUGAUUUCUAACGAGAUGAAUCCAAAUACGUCUAUCUUAACGUGGAUCUUUACAUUUUACUGCCCCUUGAGUGCAGCUUUUGGAAAGAUGACUAACAAGUCAAAUACUGCAAGACAAAAUAUGUGGAGAAGCCGAGUUUAGACCACUGUUUAGGGACAGAUUAUUAGAGAUUACAACUCAAGGUUUUAGAAGAUCAGCAUAUUACACAGUAAUAUGGCAUAUCCAACAAUUACUGCUAAUCGUAUACUCCUUAAAUUUGUAGUGAAACUGGGUAUGUGUAAAUGGUGUUCUUCAGAUGAAAAUUAAUAUAUUCAAAAUAAGUAAGUAUGUUCUGUACUCAACAUAUCCCAGUCUGAGAGUAUUAUAGGGAUCUAAAAAUAACUGAGUUUAUAAACUCUGUUUAUAACAGAGUUGUAUAAACUUCUUGCUUAAAAAAAAAAAAACCAAACAUGCAAAAAGUAAUCCUAGAUGUGUGAAGGGCCCCUGUUUAGAAAAAUAGGUAGACAUGUAAUUAAGUUCAUCUUUCUUCAGAAAAGCAGGCAGGCACCUGCUUAAAUGUAAAUGUGCUUAAGUUGUGUUUACUUCAAGAAAUACUUAAGUACAUUUGAAGUUAAUCAUCUACACAAAAGACUUUCCCCAAUAAAGACUUGCAUACACACAAAGGGGGGGAAGGCGCUUCAAAACUUAAGUAUGAUUAUAGGUGUGAGUGAUGGGUUUGAUUUUAGAAGAACCUGAAGGAAGUAAGUGCACAAAUCUAAUUGAAAUUCAAUGAGUCUGGAGCAUCUAAUUGUCUUGGGUCCCUCUGAAAGCCUCAGCCUCUUUUAAAUGCUAACAGCUGAGGGAGGUGCUGGCUCUUAUGAACUGAUUUCACAUUAGCACACCAACACAUUGCUGGAUGUUUCUCCCCAGAUGCUCAGUGUGGGAAUGUAACCCUCUGUGUAUGGUGUCUCCAGUAUUGCCAAAUACUGGUGUCGCUUUGAAUGUUUUUAUGAACUAAAAAACUACAUCAAAAUGCCAGUGUAUUUACAAACUUCAGUAUUCAUCACUCAGGGAGAAUUGCAGAAGGUAAGGGGGGGGGAAUGGUGGUUCAAUUGCAGUGCUAUGAAGUUGUGAGCAGAAGAGCCUUUUGGAAGCUAGCAGGGUCCAGGUGAGAUUUUUAAUUAAUAGGUUCCUGACCUGGCCCCCUACCUUAGUCCAGGCAUCCUACACAGGAAGAUUUGGAUCUAAAUUUUGUAUUUUUCUCUUUCUCCACUUUGGAAAGUUGAACCAAAACUUUUCAAAAAAUCCGUGAAUUUGGCCAAGGUGCUUGGUUGAUUUUAUCUGCAGCCAUGGCUGUAACUUCCCAGCGGAUGUUCCCAUGCUCACAGAGGCUAGCUGCAUGUUAGGGCACAGGGAGGAGGGCCGCUUUCGAGAGCCACAUUUUCCAUGGCUUUGUAAGCUGACCCUAAGAAGGUCUUUGGUUGUCCUGCAUCCUCCCUCCUCUCCCUGCGUCCCCUGUUGUUUCCCAUGUCCUCCCUUUCUCUACCAAUGUCAAUUCUUCUGCUGUUCAGCAGGCCAGUUCAGAGAGCUGAUCUGGCCAAAAUCUGCCAGGAAGGAAAAAAAAAAAAAAAAAAAAGAGGACUGUGGGAGCCCUGUUUGGACCAGUGCCACCCAACAUGAACCUGCCCUCACAUCGUGGUGGUGGAGCUGUGUGUAGGCAGGCAGCUCUCUGGAUGGGGGAACUGCUAAGGGGGGAAAAUGAUACACCAGGACAAAAUCAAGGGUAUUUUUACAUAGGGCUGGUUACCCACUCAUGCAGCCACCUAAGCAUCUCCAGAUAAUCCUGGGGCCCAGUGCAGGGACAGGCCUGGGCAGUGGGAGAAGAGACCCUCUUGAGGCAGCAUUGCCUCUGAAGGACGUGUUCCUCAAAGCACGGCUUUCGUCCUGCUUGGCAGGCACGUGCUUCACAGCUGUAGCAGCAGAGAUGUGAUGCUGUUGCAAACAGAUGCAUUGGGACGUGAAGAUGAAUGCCUUUAAAGAGAAAGGAAGGUUUGGGGGUGACUGGCAUUAGCUUUUAGGACGGUAGGAUGGGAGUCUUGUUAGCGUGCUGUGCCUGGCACGGCCAGCCCUGAUGUUUGAGCUGUGUGGCCCAUGGGGUCCCCGGCCGUGGGCAUGUGCUGCUUCCAAAUUGCACGUUGCUCAAAUCAAAGGGUCUUGUGUAAUGGGGCCUACAGGAUCUCUGGGAUGCCUUUUUUUUUUUUUUUUUUUUA